UACGGAGGGGGCUAGCGUUGUUCGGAAUCACUGGGCGUAAAGCGCACGUAGGCGGAUUGCUAAGUCAGGGGUGAAAUCCUGGAGCUCAACUCCAGAACUGCCUUUGAUACUGGUGAUCUUGAGUCCGGGAGAGGUGAGUGGAACUGCGAGUGUAGAGGUGAAAUUCGUAGAUAUUCGCAAGAACACCAGUGGCGAAGGCGGACUCACUGGCCCGGUACUGACGCUGAGGUGCGAAAGCGUGGGGAGCAAACAGG
Molecule: ribosomal RNA, 254 nt
Filed under: uncultured bacterium
Lineage: Bacteria
Description: partial 16S ribosomal RNA
Rfam family: Bacterial small subunit ribosomal RNA
Source: RNAcentral